Molecule: transfer RNA, 72 nt
Filed under: Ictidomys tridecemlineatus (thirteen-lined ground squirrel)
Lineage: Eukaryota; Metazoa; Chordata; Mammalia; Rodentia; Sciuridae
Description: Spermophilus tridecemlineatus (thirteen-lined ground squirrel) tRNA
Rfam family: tRNA
About the family: Transfer RNA (tRNA) molecules are approximately 80 nucleotides in length. Their secondary structure includes four short double-helical elements and three loops (D, anti-codon, and T loops).
Source: Rfam by way of RNAcentral
GCGGGUGUAACUUAGUGGGUAAAGCAUUUGCCUGAAAUACAUUAGGCUCUGGGUUCAAUCCCCAGCGUUGCA